GAAUUCGCCCUUAGAGUUUGAUCCUGGCUCAGGACGAACGCUGGCGGCGCGCCUAACACAUGCAAGUCGAACGAGCGAGAGAGAGCUUGCUUUCUCGAGCGAGUGGCGAACGGGUGAGUAACGCGUGAGGAACCUGCCUCAAAGAGGGGGACAACAGUUGGAAACGACUGCUAAUACCGCAUGAGCCCACGACCCGGCAUCGGGUAGAGGGAAAAGGAGCAAUCCGCUUUGAGAUGGCCUCGCGUCCGAUUAGCUAGUUGGUGAGGUAAUGGCCCACCAAGGCGACGAUCGGUAGCCGGACUGAGAGGUUGAACGGCCACAUUGGGACUGAGACACGGCCCAGACUCCUACGGGAGGCAGCAGUGGGGAAUAUUGCACAAUGGGGGAAACCCUGAUGCAGCGACGCCGCGUGGAGGAAGAAGGUCUUCGGAUUGUAAACUCCUGUUGUUGAGGAAGAUAAUGACGGUACUCAACAAGGAAGUGACGGCUAACUACGUGCCAGCAGCCGCGGUAAAACGUAGGUCACAAGCGUUGUCCGGAAUUACUGGGUGUAAAGGGAGCGCAGGCGGGAAGACAAGUUGGAAGUGAAAUCCAUGGGCUCAACCCAUGAACUGCUUUCAAAACUGUUUUUCUUGAGUAGUGCAGAGGUAGGCGGAAUUCCCGGUGUAGCGGUGGAAUGCGUAGAUAUCGGGAGGAACACCAGUGGCGAAGGCGGCCUACUGGGCACCAACUGACGCUGAGGCUCGAAAGUGUGGGUAGCAAACAGGAUUAGAUACCCUGGUAGUCCACACUGUAAACGAUG
This 802-nucleotide ribosomal RNA is filed under the name uncultured bacterium. RNAcentral describes it as "bacterial SSU rRNA". It matches the Rfam family "Bacterial small subunit ribosomal RNA", at positions 1 to 811 of the family's 1533-position model. The record is from RNAcentral.